GGCGGGAUAGCUCAGCCGGUUAGAGCGCAGGAUUCAUAAUCCUGAGGUCGGGAGUUCGAGUCUCCCUCCCGCUACCA
RNAcentral lists this transfer RNA (77 nucleotides) under Crocinitomicaceae bacterium. Its description in RNAcentral is "tRNA-Met". It matches the Rfam family "tRNA". Rfam says of the family: Transfer RNA (tRNA) molecules are approximately 80 nucleotides in length. Their secondary structure includes four short double-helical elements and three loops (D, anti-codon, and T loops). Further hydrogen bonds mediate the characteristic L-shaped molecular structure. tRNAs have two regions of fundamental functional importance: the anti-codon, which is responsible for specific mRNA codon recognition, and the 3' end, to which the tRNAs corresponding amino acid is attached (by aminoacyl-tRNA synthetases). tRNAs cope with the degeneracy of the genetic code in two manners: having more than one tRNA (with a specific anti-codon) for a particular amino acid; and 'wobble' base-pairing, i.e. permitting non-standard base-pairing at the 3rd anti-codon position. The record is from RNAcentral. Lineage: Bacteria; Pseudomonadati; Bacteroidota; Flavobacteriia; Flavobacteriales; Crocinitomicaceae.